Molecule: ribosomal RNA, 254 nt
Filed under: uncultured bacterium
Lineage: Bacteria
Description: partial 16S ribosomal RNA
Rfam family: Bacterial small subunit ribosomal RNA
Source: RNAcentral
UACGGGGGGAGCAAGCGUUGUUCGGAUUUACUGGGCGUAAAGGGCGCGUAGGCGGCCACCGCAAGUCGACUGUGAAAUCUCCGGGCUUAACCCGGAAAGGUCAGCCGAUACUGCGGGGCUAGAGUGCAGAAGGGGCAACUGGAAUUCUCGGUGUAGCGGUGAAAUGCGUAGAUAUUGAGAGGAACACCUGCGGCGAAGGCGGGUUGCUGGGCUGACACUGACGCUGAUGCGCGAAAGCUAGGGGAGCGAACGGG